UGGAUAAGGCAUGCAAGUCGAGUGGGUUUAGACCCACGGCAGACGAGGUAGUAACACGUAGGAACGUACCCGGAAGUCGGGCAUAACCAGUCGAAAGAUUGGACAAUUCCCGAUGGUCUCGCAAGAGUAAAGAUUUUUCGCUUCCGGAGCGGCCUGCGUAGUAUCAGCUAGUUGGUAAGGUAAAGGCUUACCAAGGCUAUGACACUUAGGGGAGCUGAGAGGCUGACCCCCACCGAUGGAACUGAGAUACGGUCCAUACUCCUACGGGAGGCCGCAGUCGAGAAUAUUUGGCAAUGGGCGAAAGCCUGACCAUGCGACGCCGCGUGAUGGAUGAAGUGCUUCGGUACGUAAACAUC
This 356-nucleotide ribosomal RNA is filed under the name uncultured organism. RNAcentral describes it as "bacterial SSU rRNA". It matches the Rfam family "Bacterial small subunit ribosomal RNA", at positions 45 to 433 of the family's 1533-position model. The record is from RNAcentral.